UGGCGAACGGGUGAGUAACACGUGAGUAACCUGCCCUUGACUUUGGGAUAACUUCAGGAAACUGGGGCUAAUACCGGAUAGGAGCUCCUGCUGCAUGGUGGGGGUUGGAAAGUUUCGGCGAUUGGGGAUGGACUCGCGGCUUAUCAGCUUGUUGGUGGGGUAGUGGCUUACAAAGGCUUUGACGGGUAGCCGGCCUGAGAGGGUGACCGGCCACAUUGGGACUGAGAUACGGCCCAG
Molecule: ribosomal RNA, 237 nt
Filed under: uncultured Actinomycetales bacterium
Lineage: Bacteria; Bacillati; Actinomycetota; Actinomycetes; Actinomycetales
Description: partial 16S ribosomal RNA
Rfam family: Bacterial small subunit ribosomal RNA
Source: RNAcentral